GCGAGAGUGGCGGAAUUGGCAGACGCACUAGACUUAGGAUCUAGCGGGUAACCCGUGGGGGUUCGAGUCCCCCCUCUCGCA
Molecule: non-coding RNA, 81 nt
Organism: Deltaproteobacteria bacterium
Lineage: Bacteria; Pseudomonadati; Myxococcota; Myxococcia
Source: Rfam